CGUUGUGAAGCUAUAAGGAAACAGCAUCAGCCUUUUAAGCUGAAUAUAGGUGAUUUCCGCCCACCCCUAACGA
Molecule: transfer RNA, 73 nt
Filed under: Mannophryne collaris (collared poison frog)
Lineage: Eukaryota; Metazoa; Chordata; Amphibia; Anura; Aromobatidae
Description: tRNA-Lys
Rfam family: tRNA
About the family: Transfer RNA (tRNA) molecules are approximately 80 nucleotides in length. Their secondary structure includes four short double-helical elements and three loops (D, anti-codon, and T loops).
Source: RNAcentral